Molecule: ribosomal RNA, 180 nt
Filed under: uncultured bacterium
Lineage: Bacteria
Description: partial 16S ribosomal RNA
Rfam family: Bacterial small subunit ribosomal RNA
Source: RNAcentral
UGAAGUUGGAAUCGCUAGUAAUCGCGAAUCAGAAUGUCGCGGUGAAUACGUUCCCGGGUCUUGUACACACCGCCCGUCACACCAUGGGAGUCGGAAAUGCCCGAAGUCAGUGACCCAACCGCAAGGAGGGAGCUGCCGAAGGUGGAGCCGGUAACUGGGGUGAAGUCGUAACAAGGUAGC